RNAcentral lists this ribosomal RNA (207 nucleotides) under uncultured bacterium. RNAcentral's name for it is "partial 16S ribosomal RNA". It matches the Rfam family "Bacterial small subunit ribosomal RNA", at positions 568 to 774 of the family's 1533-position model. The record is from RNAcentral.
UUCGUAGGUGGCCAACUAAGCCAGACGUGAAAUCCCUCAGCUUAACUGGGGAACUGCGUCUGGGACUGGAUGGCUUGAGUGCAGGAGAGGAACGCGGAAUUCCAGGUGUAGCGGUGAAAUGCGUAGAUAUCUGGAGGAACACCGGUGGCGAAGGCGGCGUUCUGGACUGCAACUGACACUGAGGAACGAAAGCCAGGGGAGCAAACG